RNAcentral lists this ribosomal RNA (324 nucleotides) under uncultured eukaryote. RNAcentral's name for it is "partial 18S ribosomal RNA". It matches the Rfam family "Eukaryotic small subunit ribosomal RNA", at positions 1470 to 1796 of the family's 1831-position model. The record is from RNAcentral.
CCCUUAGAUGUCCUGGGCUGCACGCGCGCUACACUGAUGUGUCCAGUAAGCACCUAACCGCUUCCGAAAGGAACGGGUAACCUUUGCAAAGCACAUCGUGAUGGGGAUAGAUUAUUGCAAUUAUUAGUCUUGAACGAGGAAUUCCUAGUAAGCACAAGUCAUCAGCUUGUGUUGAUUACGUCCCUGCCCUUUGUACACACCGCCCGUCGCUCCUACCGAUUGAAUGUUCCGGUGAGCUCUUCGGACUGCGCGGUCUGCAGUUUCUGCGUUCCGUGCGGAAAGUUGCGCAAACCUUAACAUUUAGAGGAAGGAGAAGUCGUAACA